Molecule: ribosomal RNA, 462 nt
Filed under: uncultured bacterium
Lineage: Bacteria
Description: partial 16S ribosomal RNA
Rfam family: Bacterial small subunit ribosomal RNA
Source: RNAcentral
GACGAACGCUGGCGGCGUGCUUAACACAUGCAAGUCGAGCGGAAAGGCCCUUCGGGGUACUCGAGCGGCGAUCGGGUGAGUAACACGUGAGUAACCUGCCCCAGACUUUGGGAUAACCCUCGGAAACGGGGGCUAAUACCGGAUACGACACAGCUUCGCAUGGGGUCUGUGUGGAAAGUUUUUCGGUUUGGGAUGGGCUCGCGGCCUAUCAGCUUGUUGGUGGGGUGAUGGCCUACCAAGGCGACGACGGGUAGCCGGCCUGAGAGGGCGACCGGCCACACUGGGACUGAGACACGGCCCAGACUCCUACGGGAGGCAGCAGUGGGGAAUAUUGCACAAUGGGCGGAAGCCUGAUGCAGCGACGCCGCGUGAGGGAUGACGGCCUUCGGGUUGUAAACCUCUUUCAGCAGGGACGAAGCGUAAGUGACGGUACCUGCAGAAGAAGCGCCGGCCAACUACGUG